Molecule: long non-coding RNA, 345 nt
Organism: Neodiprion virginianus
Lineage: Eukaryota; Metazoa; Arthropoda; Insecta; Hymenoptera; Diprionidae
Exons: 3
Source: RefSeq, a predicted model, not a curated record
CUCUUAAUCGCACGAAUUCAUCUUGGUUAGUGUGCCGCGCUCCUUUCACUGCAGUGAAACGUUCAACCGCAAGGACCGUAACAACCCGGCACAAGGACCAGCGAGUCAAGUCGUCCUGCAGCUUCGCAGACUCUAUUUCAUCCAUUCAACUUGACGGCAGAAGGAGCAGCAGAAACGGUCAUUAAUUACGUUAAGGAGACGAGCAUCGAUCACGCAGAGGGACGAACGGUUCAAGGGGCGGUUUUAAAGCACGAUUUUAGAGCUUCGCAGCGUCGAGGAAAUUUCGGAGGAUGGAUACUCGAUCAUUAAACCUGAUGGAAAGAAUGAAAGAGGACGAGCAAAGAA